RNAcentral lists this ribosomal RNA (253 nucleotides) under uncultured bacterium. RNAcentral's name for it is "partial 16S ribosomal RNA". It matches the Rfam family "Bacterial small subunit ribosomal RNA", at positions 524 to 776 of the family's 1533-position model. The record is from RNAcentral.
UACGUAGGGGGCAAGCGUUGUCCGGAAUCAUUGGGCGUAAAGCGCGCGUAGGCGGCUUUGUAAGUCCGCUGUGAAAGUCAAAGGCUCAACCUUUGAAUGCCGGUGGAUACUGCAGGGCUAGAGUCCGGAAGAGGCGAGUGGAAUUCCUGGUGUAGCGGUGGAAUGCGCAGAUAUCAGGAGGAACACCAAUAGCGAAGGCAGCUCGCUGGGACGGUACUGACGCUAAGGCGCGAAAGCGUGGGGAGCGAACAGG